This 497-nucleotide ribosomal RNA is filed under the name uncultured bacterium. Its description in RNAcentral is "partial 16S ribosomal RNA". It matches the Rfam family "Bacterial small subunit ribosomal RNA", at positions 28 to 507 of the family's 1533-position model. The record is from RNAcentral.
GAUGAACGCUGGCGGCGUGCCUAAUACAUGCAAGUCGAGCGAACAGACGAGGAGCUUGCUCCUCUGACGUUAGCGGCGGACGGGUGAGUAACACGUGGAUAACCUACCUAUAAGACUGGGAUAACUUCGGGAAACCGGAGCUAAUACAGGAUAAAAUAUUGAACCGCAUGGUUCAAUAGUGAAAGACGGUUUUGAUGUCACUUAAUGAUGGAUCCGUGCCGGAUUAGCUAGUUGGUAAGGUAACGGCUUACCAAGGCAACGAUGCGUAGCCGACCUGAGAGGGUGACCGGCCACACUGGAACUGAGACACGGUCCAGACUCCUACGGGAGGCAGCAGUAGGGAAUCUUCCGCAAUGGGCGAAAGCUUGACGGAGCAACGCCGCGUGAGUGAUGAAGGUCUUCGGAUCGUAAAACACUGUUAUUAGGGAAGAACAAAUGUGUAAGUAACUAUGCACGUCUUGACGGUACCUAAUCAGAAAGCCACGGCUAACUACGUG